Seriola aureovittata is the source of this 3090-nucleotide RNA transcript. It is a transcript of the gene named peptidase M20 domain containing 1, tandem duplicate 2, with no coding region annotated. The transcript has 14 exons. The record is from RefSeq and is a predicted model, not a curated record. NCBI's taxonomy places the organism in Eukaryota, Metazoa, Chordata, Actinopteri, Carangiformes, Carangidae.
AAAUUCGCUUUCUGACCAGCAGGUGGCUCUCGUUCAACAUCCUCAAACUAAUUCAGUCUGCACUCAGUCACAGUGAACGAGUUCCGCUGUCACAACAAAUAAACAAUGACCGAGUCGGGGCAAAAGUUCAAAAUAUUCAAGUUUUUAAAGAUUAUGAUUAGCAGCUUCCUCAUUACAAUAUUAUUGUUAUUUACUGUAGCAUCUAUCAGGACUUUCUCACUGGAUGUAAAUGCCGGUCUUCAACUCGCAAAUUGGGAAAAGACGAAGAACAUCUCGCUCGUCAUAGACCAUCAUCAGAGAGAGGAACUAAUAGCAAAUUUUAAAGAGGCUAUUCGGAUCCCCACUGUGUCUUUCUCCGGGACGGAGAGCAACAACACUGCGCUGCUUGAAUUCAACAGGCUCCUCCGUAAAGCUUUCCCAACAGUUUUCUCUUCAAAAUUGGUUCAUCAUCAGUUGGUGGCCAACUACAGCCACCUAUUUUGGGUACAAGGAUCACAGCCUGACUUGGCGCCAUACCUGCUGCUGGCCCACAUAGAUGUGGUACCUGCUUCAGAGUCGGAUGGCUGGGAGGCACCGCCAUUUUCUGCCAAGGAGAUAGAUGGCUUCAUAUAUGGUAGAGGGACCAUCGAUGACAAGGGCUCUGUAAUGGGAAUACUUCAGGCGCUGGAAUACUUGCUAAUAAAAGGCUAUGCUCCACGCAGAGGAUUUUACAUUGGUCUUGGUCAUGACGAAGAAGUCGGUGGUUACAAGGGGGCAGUGAACAUAGUGCCAAUGCUGAAGCAGCAUGGUGUGCAGCUGUCGUUUGUCCUAGACGAGGGCCUUGCUGUACUGGAUGAUGUCAUCAGUGGUCUUGAAGUACCUGCUGCUCUAAUUGGGAUAACGGAAAAGGGCUCGGCCACUGUAAAGCUGAGUGUGUCUAUGGCCCCUGGUCACUCCUCAAUGCCUCCCAGAGAGACCAGCAUUGGGAUCUUGGCUGCCGCAGUCAAAAGACUAGAGGAGAACCCCAUGCCAAGGUUAUUUGGUCAUGGGCCUGAGCGUGGAACCUUUGAACACCUGGCCCAUAAGUUCAGGCUUCCAAUGAAGUUCAUAAUGUCGAAUUUGUGGCUGUUCUCCCCACUCCUUGGCAGGGUACUGGAAAGAAAACCAGACACUAAUGCUUUUGUAAGGACAACCACAGCAGUUACCAUGUUUAAUGCAGGAGUUAAGGUGAAUGUCAUCCCUUCCCUAGCUGAAGCUUAUGUAAAUCUACGAAUCCACUCAGCGCAGUCAUUACAAGAGGUACUGGACCUCGUCCGUUCCACAGUGGGUGACCAGCGAGUGAAGAUCGAGCUUGUUGAUGGGUUUGACCCUCUGCCUGUCAGCUCAGCUGAUGAACAGUCCUUUGGCUUCCAGAUCAUUAAGAAAACUGUGUUGGACAUGUUUCCAACAGUUACAGUUGCUCCAGGUAUCUGUAUUGGGAACACAGACAGUCGACACUUCAAAGACCUGACCAGUGAUAUCUAUCGCUUUGCCCCUGUCUGGUUUAAACCAGGUGAUGCUAAGAGAUGCCAGUUUUGGUCACAACAGACUCUUCAUCUAAGUCUGGGUCUGACUGAGGGUCAAACAUGUGGCUGAGUCUCUCCGAGCAAGCAGCAGUGGUGGCUGAGGCACAAGGCUUGAUCCAGAAUUUCUCAAUGAGGAAAAUUUUCCAGUAAAGUCAUCCAGGUCCAGAGACCAGACAAAAGCUCCUCCAAAGUUGUUUGUUUUCAGGUAGCUGACCUGAGAGGAUGAAGAAAAAACACACCAGCUGAAAUCAUUUAACCAUCAUUCCAUCAACUGUCCAUCAACUAUCAUUCAUUUGCAAAGUUAUUAUGGAAUUAAACAGAUGAUUACCUUUGUUUCAAAGCUUUCUUUGUUAUCAAAUCCAACCCACUGAUUUUCUGUGAGGGCGUAUGGAACUUUCUGAUCAGUAAUCAGCUGGAUUAGAGCCCCUUCAAUAUAAAGACAAGUCUGAAAGGAACGGGGAAACAAUAUAUUUAGAUCUAAUGAAAUUUGUCACACUACGCAGUGAAAGCCGUUAGUAUACAUUAUUAAUUAAAAUAUAUGUACACAGCAUAAUAAUAUAAUAAUACCUCAUAAUAGGCCCAGAAUCCAUCUUCACCAGUGUAGCAACCUUCUUCACCAGUGCCGUUGGCUGGUGCUCCAACAUCAGUGGAUGGAGAAGACAGGGUAAAAGCUCGUCCAUACGUUGCCAGUCCCAAGUUUAGCAAUUGUGCUGGUGCUCCCUGGUCCCUCCAGUACUGCAUGCCAUCCUCCUAAAAUGUGAGGGAAAAACAAUUAGGAUGACAACUAUAAAUAGAUAUGGGGUCAGACAGUUUAAGUAUGAAUCCUGGUAUUUACAGUAUUAGAGUUGAUUUUGUCUCCAGUAUCUUGGGAUCCCCGGAACAAGGGGCUGUGAUGUCCUGUUACAUUUUCCCAGGGGCCGCGAAAGUCAAAUGUCAGCACAUUAAUGAAAUCCAGGUUCCUGAUAAAAUGCAGAGAAGAUCACGUUGACCAAAGAACUUCAACAGCUAAUCACAAAUAUAGUGUCAAGAAUGACUUUAAAAUAGUUUACCCGGCAAUCUGUGCGACUUCAUAACUGGCAUCGAUGACUGCCUUCUCAGCAGAGACACUAGCAGUGAGGAUUAAUCUGUCACGGUUAUUUUGGGUUCCUUCAGCCACAAAGGCAGCGUUGAGCUCCUGCACAAGAAGAAAGCACGGUUCAGUCUCAAUCAAGUUUAAAAUCUUAAAAUAUAUAUAUAUGUAAUGUAUAGAAUAUUUAUGAGAGUCCCAGAAGAAAGGAUCUGACCUGGCACAACAGUGUAAAUUUCUGCUUGUUGUCUGAUUGGCUUCCUGCUGCUGCGGGAAACCUCCAGUCCAGGUUGAGCCCAUCAAAACCAUAUGUUCUCAGUAGUGUGAUAGCAGACUGGAUGAACAUUGCUCUUGUUGUUUGUGUUGACACCAUCGUACUGAAUCUGGUAAAGAUUAGUACAAAACAGUGUUGUCAUCAUCUAUAGAAGUAUAAUUUGUAGUUACUGACAUCUUUAGUAGGCUACCAUCAAAUUUUUAACA